This 1179-nucleotide ribosomal RNA is filed under the name uncultured bacterium. RNAcentral describes it as "bacterial SSU rRNA". It matches the Rfam family "Bacterial small subunit ribosomal RNA", at positions 8 to 1187 of the family's 1533-position model. The record is from RNAcentral.
AGAGUUUGAUCAUGGCUCAGAUUGAACGCUGGCGGCAGGCUUAACACAUGCAAGUCGAACGAUGACUAACUAGCUUGCUAGUUAUGAUUAGUGGCGGACGGGUGAGUAACAUUUAGGAAUCUGCCUAGUAGUGGGGGAUAGCUCGGGGAAACUCGAAUUAAUACCGCAUACGACCUACGGGUGAAAGGGGGCGCAAGCUCUUGCUAUUAGAUGAGCCUAAAUCAGAUUAGCUAGUUGGUGGGGUAAAGGCCCACCAAGGCGACGAUCUGUAACUGGUCUGAGAGGAUGAUCAGUCACACCGGAACUGAGACACGGUCCGGACUCCUACGGGAGGCAGCAGUGGGGAAUAUUGGACAAUGGGGGCAACCCUGAUCCAGCCAUGCCGCGUGUGUGAAGAAGGCCUUUUGGUUGUAAAGCACUUUAAGCAGGGAGGAGAGGCUAAUGGUUAAUACCCAUUAGAUUAGACGUUACCUGCAGAAUAAGCACCGGCUAACUCCGUGCCAGCAGCCGCGGUAAUACAGAGGGUGCAAGCGUUAAUCGGAAUUACUGGGCGUAAAGCGAGCGUAGGUGGCUUAAUAAGUCAGAUGUGAAAUCCCCGGGCUUAACCUUGGAACUGCAUUUUUAACUACCGGGCUAGAGUGCGUCAGAGGGGGGUGGAAUUCCGCGUGUAGCAGUGAAAUGCGUAGAUAUGCGGAGGAACACCGAUGGCGAAGGCAGCCCCCUGGGAUGACACUGACGCUCAUGCACGAAAGCGUGGGGAGCAAACAGGAUUAGAUACCCUGGUAGUCCACGCCCUAAACGAUGUCAACUAGCUGUUGGGGUCUUCGGGCCUUGGUAGCGCAGCUAACGCGUGAAGUUGACCGCCUGGGGAGUACGGUCGCAAGAUUAAAACUCAAAGGAAUUGACGGGGACCCGCACAAGCGGUGGAUGAUGUGGAUUAAUUCGAUGCAACGCGAAGAACCUUACCUGGUCUUGACAUAGUAAGAACUUUCCAGAGAUGGAUUGGUGCCUUCGGGAACUUACAUACAGGUGCUGCAUGGCUGUCGUCAGCUCGUGUCGUGAGAUGUUGGGUUAAGUCCCGCAACGAGCGCAACCCUUUUCCUUAUUUGCCAGCGGGUUAAGCCGGGAACUUUAAGGAUACUGCCAGUGACAAACUGGAGGAAGGCGGGGACGACGUCA